This 71-nucleotide transfer RNA is filed under the name bacterium. Its description in RNAcentral is "tRNA-Gln". It matches the Rfam family "tRNA". Rfam says of the family: Transfer RNA (tRNA) molecules are approximately 80 nucleotides in length. The record is from RNAcentral.
UCCGGGGUCGUCUAAUGGCAGGACACCAGAUUUUGAUUCUGGUUAUCGUGGUUCGACUCCACGCCCCGGAA